GUACUGUGCUUUCUUUUAGAACUCAUUCCAGGGUAAACUGGAUUGAUGUUGUGCUUUAUGUAAACCGUGAGGCCAAAGAACAGAAGAAUAUGAAAGAUCCCACACUGGUGAAAACAGCCUGGGCUGAAGAAUCAGACAAAACUGGGUUCUGACGCACCCUGUCACAUAGAAAAAGAGACUUUGACGAGUGACUUUAUCUUCUCUGAGCCUCAUCUAUGAAAUGAACACAAGUUAAACCGAUCCGGGAGCACGGCUGAGAGAAUGAAAUGAGAAGAGAGUGAAAAUGAUAUUCCAGGUAAUGAA
Long non-coding RNA from Ailuropoda melanoleuca (giant panda), 303 nucleotides. RefSeq lists it as uncharacterized. The transcript is spliced from 3 exons. NCBI's taxonomy places the organism in Eukaryota, Metazoa, Chordata, Mammalia, Carnivora, Ursidae. The record is from RefSeq and is a predicted model, not a curated record.